CCUACGGGAGGCAGCAGUAGGGAAUAUUGCGCAAUGGAGGAAACUCUGAACCAGCAACGCCGCGUGAAGGAUGAAGGUUUUCGGAUUGUAAAGUUCUGUGGUGAGGGAUGAAAACAAUGACGGUACACCAAUAGCAAGCCACGGCUAACUAGCUGCCAGCAGCCGCGGUAAGACGUAGGUAGCAAGCGUUAGCCGGAAUGACUGGGCGUAAAGGCUGCGUCGGUGGUUUAGUAAGUAGGAUGUGUAAUCCCGGGGCUCAACCGCAGCGCUACCGCUAAAACUAUUAUACUAGAGUGUAGGAGGGGUAAGUGGAAUUCCUGGUGUAGCGGUAGAAUGCGUAGAUAUUAGGAGGAACACUCGGGGCGAAGGCGACUUACUGGACUGUAACUGACACUGAGGCACGAAAGCGUGGGGAGCAAACAGGAUUAGAUACCCGGGUAGUC
Molecule: ribosomal RNA, 443 nt
Filed under: uncultured bacterium
Lineage: Bacteria
Description: partial 16S ribosomal RNA
Rfam family: Bacterial small subunit ribosomal RNA
Source: RNAcentral